This 497-nucleotide ribosomal RNA is filed under the name uncultured bacterium. RNAcentral describes it as "partial 16S ribosomal RNA". It matches the Rfam family "Bacterial small subunit ribosomal RNA", at positions 28 to 507 of the family's 1533-position model. The record is from RNAcentral.
GAUGAACGCUGGCGGCGUGCCUAAUACAUGCAAGUCGAGCGAACAGAUAAGGAGCUUGCUCCUUUGACGUUAGCGGCGGACGGGUGAGUAACACGUGGGUAACCUACCUAUAAGACUGGAAUAACUCCGGGAAACCGGGGCUAAUGCCGGAUAACAUUUAGAACCGCAUGGUUCUAAAGUGAAAGAUGGAUUUGCUAUCACUUAUAGAUGGACCCGCGCCGUAUUAGCUAGUUGGUAAGGUAACGGCUUACCAAGGCAACGAUACGUAGCCGACCUGAGAGGGUGAUCGGCCACACUGGAACUGAGACACGGUCCAGACUCCUACGGGAGGCAGCAGUAGGGAAUCUUCCGCAAUGGGCGAAAGCCUGACGGAGCAACGCCGCGUGAGUGAUGAAGGUCUUCGGAUCGUAAAACUCUGUUAUUAGGGAAGAACAAAUGUGUAAGUAACUGUGCACGUCUUGACGGUACCUAAUCAGAAAGCCACGGCUAACUACGUG